Molecule: ribosomal RNA, 253 nt
Filed under: uncultured bacterium
Lineage: Bacteria
Description: partial 16S ribosomal RNA
Rfam family: Bacterial small subunit ribosomal RNA
Source: RNAcentral
UACGUAGGGGGCAAGCGUUGUCCGGAAUCAUUGGGCGUAAAGCGCGUGUAGGCGGCCCGAUAAGUCCGCUGUGAAAGUCCAGGGCUCAACCCUGGGAUGCCGGUGGAUACUGUCGGGCUCGAGUCCGGAAGAGGCGAGUGGAAUUCCUGGUGUAGCGGUGAAAUGCGCAGAUAUCAGGAGGAACACCGAUGGCGAAGGCAGCUCGCUGGGACGGUACUGACGCUGAGGCGCGAAAGCGUGGGGAGCGAACAGG